GACGAUUUCGCGUAAUUACAAUAAUUAUAUUAUAUACGCAAGUGCGCGAAAUACUACCACGUGGGGCGUUACGAAAUGGCCUCACGAUAUCUCGCCGUGCUUCGUAAUGCUUCGCUAGCGAGAAUCAGAAUUGACGAUGUUCUCCGACAACGAAAAGCUUCCGGAAGAUUCUCGAAGAUGUGCAAAAACGGAGGGAGGGAGAAGACGAGAAAGAGAAAGAGUAUCGGCAACAGAAACAGGAAAUAACAACAGACAAAACAUUUUGCGACUUCUGAUUGGUUUGCAUACAUUUUCAAAUCUGUUCUUGUCCUGUGCUUCUGUACGUACAAUAAGCGAGAGAGAGAGAGAGAGAGAGAGAGAGAACAUCAAAAGAUUCUGUAAAAGCGAGUUUUUUUAAAUUCAUCGAUCGAUCAAUCGCAUUAUGCGCAAAUGCAAUUUUUUACAGAGCAAAGUUGCAUUUGCGCAUAACGUGGCUGAUAAAUCAGUGAAAUAAAAAAAACUUGCCUACAUUGAUGCUAUUUUCGCGUGCGCGCGAUUUAAAAAAAGAAAAACUUGUAUUAAAUAGCGACAGAUAGAAAAAAAUUGAUGAGACCACGUUCCGUUGCUCGAUUGCACGGCGCGAUCGGCCGUGCGCAAACGGGACAAGUGUAAAAUCACAUAUUUAACGUAUAUUUAAAAAAGGUACUUUAUUCUACAUAGAUUCUUCAUAUGCGCCUCGCACGGCGAUUUUACUACAAAUGUAACAACGUAUUACGUUCGUGUUCCUGCUCCCUUUAAUUUUAAACUAUUAGAACGCGUGGAUAUAUCCCUUUGCGUUACCUCAACCGUGUGAUCCGUCUUAUGUUUGUAUUUAUAGCGCUAAAUGGGAUCGAAUAAUUCGAAAAAACUGCGGAUAUAAGAUACAAUUAUAAUUUAUAAAUUUACAUUUACAAGGCUUAUAUCAUAAUUUUAAUAUUAAAAUAAUUGUACUUAUUAAAAAAAAAAAAAAAAAUAAUAAUGGGAGGAAAAAGAAACCAUCGUUACGUUGAAUUUCAGCCGGUCACAAUGUACAAUGCGACUAACGCUUAACAGAUUUUUAAAACGCAUUAGAUAUAUUUAUUUUAAAAAUUGAUUGUACAAUGUUAAGAUCUCAUAUAUUUAUAUAUAUAUAUAUUCAUAUAGAAAGUAAAUCAGGUAGGCUGGCAAGAAGCUUAUCGCGUCACAUUUAUUCUUCUUGGCAGUCUCGCAACUUUGACAGAAGGUGGCUGCUCGUUAAUUCGAAUCAUUAGUGAUAUCGUGUAGACAAUAACGAUAUAAUUGCGAUAAGUGCCCUGUAAU
Molecule: long non-coding RNA, 1317 nt
Organism: Solenopsis invicta (red fire ant)
Lineage: Eukaryota; Metazoa; Arthropoda; Insecta; Hymenoptera; Formicidae
Exons: 2
Source: RefSeq, a predicted model, not a curated record